Molecule: ribosomal RNA, 480 nt
Filed under: uncultured organism
Description: bacterial SSU rRNA
Rfam family: Bacterial small subunit ribosomal RNA
Source: RNAcentral
GAUGAACGCUAGCGGGAGGCCUAACACAUGCAAGUCGAACGGGAUUGGGAGCUUGCUCCCAUGAGAGUGGCGCACGGGUGAGUAACGCGUAUGCAACCUGCCUUUAACAGAGGGAUAGCCCAUAGAAAUGUGGAUUAAUACCUCAUAGUUCUUUUGUUCCGCAUGGGACAGAAGAUAAAGCUCCGGCGGUUAAAGAUGGGCAUGCGUGACAUUAGUUAGUUGGUGAGGUAACGGCUCACCAAGACUACGAUGUCUAGGGGUUCUGAGAGGAUGAUCCCCCACACUGGUACUGAGACACGGACCAGACUCCUACGGGAGGCAGCAGUGAGGAAUAUUGGUCAAUGGGCGCAAGCCUGAACCAGCCAUCCCGCGUGCAGGAUGACGGCCCUAUGGGUUGUAAACUGCUUUUAUACACCAAGAAACUUUCGGACGUGUCCGGAACUGACGGUAGUGUAUGAAUAAGCAUCGGCUAACUCCGUG